RNAcentral lists this non-coding RNA (1111 nucleotides) under Anopheles gambiae (African malaria mosquito). Its description in RNAcentral is "Eukaryotic large subunit ribosomal RNA". It matches the Rfam family "Eukaryotic large subunit ribosomal RNA", at positions 1370 to 2314 of the family's 3401-position model. Lineage: Eukaryota; Metazoa; Arthropoda; Insecta; Diptera; Culicidae. The record is from Rfam by way of RNAcentral.
GACCCCAGUGAGUAGGAGGGUACGGUGGUGCGCGUCGAAGUGUUUGGCGCAAGCCGGCAUGGAGCCGCCACUGGCACAGAUCUUGGUGGUAGUAGCAAAUAUUCGAACGAGCUCUUGGAUGACUGAAGUGGAGAAGGGUUUCGUGUCAACAGCAGUUGAACACGAGUUAGCCAAUCCUAAGCCGCAUGGGAAUCCAGUCGUAACCCAUCAGUCGGCGAAAGGGAAUCCGGUUACCAUUCCGGAGCCUGUUGAGUACCCGUUUGCGCCAGCCUAGUAGGGUUUAGCUCGUCCGCACCCGAACGGUUAGUGUGUAGCUUCAUGGCAACAUGAAUCCUUUUCUUCGAGAAGCCAACGAGAGGCAUCGGAAGAGUUUUCUUUUCUGUUUUACAGCCACACCGACCAUGGAAGUCACUCACAGAGAGAUAUGGUUGGACCGGUCUGGUAGAGCACGGCCGCCGCAACUGCCGUGUCGAUGCACUCUUCUUGGACCGUGAAAAUCGAAGACUGGGGCACACUUUAUAUGGUAAUAACGCACACUCUCAACAGAUUGUACCGAAUCCGCAGCAGGUCUCCAAGGUGCAGAGUCUCUAGUCGAUAGAUCAAUGUAGGUAAGGGAAGUCGGCAAACUGGAUCCGUAACUUCGGGACAAGGAUUGGCUCUGAAGGCUGGGUGCGACCAGCCGGGACCGGUGCUCCACCUGCCGCAAGGUAGGCUGGCCCGUGCCCGCGGUCGCACAGCAAACAGCCAAUUCAGAACUGGCACGGCUGAGGGAAUCCGACUGUCUAAUUAAAACAAAGCAUUGUGAUGGCCCCGGGUGGGUGUUGACACAAUGUGAUUUCUGCCCAGUGCUCUGAAUGUCAACGUGAAGAAAUUCAAGCAAGCGCGGGUAAACGGCGGGAGUAACUAUGACUCUCUUAAGGUAGCCAAAUGCCGCUCAGUCUUCAUCCAGCCUUCGAGACGGCGUUACGCUGCCCAAAUACCCAGCGCUCAGUGUUAGUGAAGAAUUUUGUGUGUGUGUGAAAGUGUCAGUAUUCUUUUAACCGUUGACGAGGAAGGUCGUGCUUCUGCUAGUCUCAGUUUCUAGAGUGCUUGAUACAGUGUGUGUGUGUGU